Molecule: long non-coding RNA, 506 nt
Organism: Terrapene triunguis (Three-toed box turtle)
Lineage: Eukaryota; Metazoa; Chordata; Testudines; Emydidae
Exons: 3
Source: RefSeq, a predicted model, not a curated record
UAACCCUGACUGUUGUGUGACUAAACUCUCAGCUCUAACUUGAUGUGAACAUGGAAUAAUACAUUAAUUCCUUUUGCGCUGGCUUGGAAGAGAUGAUUUUAGUCUGUAUGCCUCUUCCUGGGUGGCAUUGGGUUGCUUUCACUCUGUUUCCCAUGUCUAGCUUCACCUGCCAUUAGAGAGCCCCCUCUCACAGGUUGUAACCAGUUCUUAUGUCCAUCUCGUCCAUCCAGUGACUCUGAGCUGAAAAGAGAACAAAGCCAGACCAAGAGCCACAAGACACCCGUGAAGGGUGCGCAGCUGUCUACUGAGACGAGUCCAGCCAACGGCAGCCCCUCUGAGGAGAAGGCGGUGCAAUCCAGCCGCAAGAAGCGGGGACAGCCAAGCAACAAGGAUGUGGCCCAGAUCGGCCCCAAGAGAAUCAGGAAGGCAACCAAGCGCGAGAUGCUCCUGUGCGACUUCGAGGGCUGCGGCAAGAUCUUCUCCAACCGCCAGUACCUGAAUGUGAG